CAUACAGGACUUCAACAUGAAACUUCAUUGGUGUAUUGAUGUCAAUAAGAGAAGUGUCAUGCACAAAAACAAUAACCCUUCAUUUUCUUAAAUAAGAGUUAUUGCCCUUUGUUGUGUUUGUGUUGUGUAACUUUUCAAGACUAUAAUCAGAUUCGCUAAAAGAUUUCAAUAUAAAACUGCAUGUGUAUAGAUAACAAUGAGAAGAAUCGCAUUGCAUAAAAACAAUUAGCCUACACUUAUUUUUUUAGGAUUAUAUCAAAUAUAAAGUAUUUGCACACAUCCAUUAACAAACUUUAUUUGGCGGGGGAUAUCAUUUCAACAAAUGUGCUUGUUUUUAUGGUUUUCAGUUGUUGUUUUAAUUAUUAACAUUUAUAAAUGUUAUCAUUAUUUAUUAUCUUUACCUUCAUCAUUUAGUUAUUUGCAAAUUUUUAACUAGAGAUGUGCCGUUCUUCAUUUAGCUAUUUGCAAAUAUAGACCCAUAGAUUUGAAACAAGGCAAAUGCUUGGUACUUACAAAUAUCUCUAUAAGUACUUAUGCAGAUUCUUUUUAGCUACUUUGAGCACAACAUGCUUGUUGUUAGUGUUUUUGAUAGCUUUUUGGAUUUUGUUUGUUGACUGUCUUGCAUCAUCAACAUUUGCCUUGUUAGUACUAUAGUCUAUAGUCAAAAUAUAUUUCCAAAUUUUAUAUCGGCCAAGUUCAUAACUGGGUCACAUGUGGUCAAAAACUAGGUCAGUAGGUUAAAUUAAAGAAAUGAUUAAAGAACACUCGAAAUGCUACAUUUAUUUCCCAAAUGCAAUAAAACUUACUACAUUUGUAUGUCACAAUGUCAAAUUAAAAGAAAAGCUUAGAAACACUCUAGAAGUCACAUUGUGAUAUAGUCAUGCUCCUAAUUUUUUGUUUGAAAAAGUCUGUGAAUAAGAAGAACAACAACUACAUGAGAUAGAUUACGGCCAAUAUUUUCAGUGAAACCUUGCUAUUGAGACCACCUGUGGGAUGUUUGAAAAGUGGUCCUAAUAGCGAGAUGGUCUUAAUGCUGAGUUUUCAUGACUUUCAUGACUUUUGAUAGAAAGAUAACACAACUAGUCAAUAGUCAAACUGUAAAAAUGUUGCAUGCUAUAUAACAGUAAUUUAUAAAAAUCAUUGUACAAAGAAAGUAUUUCAAGCUUUUCAAACAAAAAGUGAAACAUAAUUUCAUCAUGAUACUUUCCUUUACUUAACGUUUUGGAAGGAUGGAAAAGUUUAAACAUUAACACACCUUCUUCUUUCAUGUGCAGAAUAAACUGGCCAACUGCCUUAAGAUUUCCCAUUGGUCGCAUUGUUUUAAUCAAUCUUUUAUUUUGAAUACAGAUAAGACAUACAGGUAGUUUUUUUUAAUCUGCCAUAAACAAGACCAUCUCACUCAUUUAUCUUAAUAGCCAAAAACAGUUGCGUUAAACGUUCAUUGAGUGGCAAUGGCUUUGUACACAAACCCGAUUGAACCACAACACCUAAUCAAGUAAGGUGUGAAAAUUACUGGUUAUUUGGUGGGUGUCAAUUUAGAGCAAUUUAGUUGAUUGGUACUGAUUAAAGUGGUUGUAAUAGCGGAUUAACGGGUUGGUCGUAUUUAUGAGUGUAACAACCAUUGAAAUAUGCAAGGAAAAUUGCAGGACUGAAACAUGCUGAUCUUCUUAGCAAGUUUGUCAUUAUUACGAGGUUGUCAUUAAGCGAGGUUUUACUGUAUCUAAUUAAUUAACUUGGAUGUUUCCUAUAUGCACCCCCUUAUUUUAUUUAAUGGUCAAUCACCGGUGCAUUAAUUGGUAUUUUCAUGGCUAGCAGAUAUAAUUGCUUCUUGUUUAUUUUCCUGUUGACGAUGUGUUAACUGACAUAAAGUUAUUAAAAUAGUCCAAAUUUAGAUGUCUCUUCCUGUUUAAUUAGCCAUAUACAUACAUUGUCUGUAUAAACGUGAGAGAAUGCAAUUUCAUAAUGGAUCUGGCUCCAUUAGGUAUCUUGCUGCUAGCGGGUAUGAUUGAAUGACCUGUCUUGAAUUACAUGUGGGGCGCUUUUUAACCAGGUUUUCCGAAGGAAAAAACUGGUUAUUAGAUUGGCGAAUGCGGGCGGGCUGGCUGGCUGGCUGGCUGGCUGGGCUGGCGGGCUGGCGGAAUAAGCUUGUCCGGGCCAUAACUAUGUCGUUCAUUGUCAGAUUUUAAAAUCAUUUGGCACAUUUGUUCACCAUCAUUGGACGGUGUGUCGCGCGAAAUAAUUACGUCGAUAUCUCCAAGGUCAAGGUCACACUUUGAGUUCAAAGGUCAAAAAUGGCCAUAAAUGAGCUUGUCCUGGCCAUAACUAUGUCAUUCAUUGUGAGAUUUUAAAAUCAUUUGGCACAUUUGUUCACCAUCAUGGGACGGUGUGUCCCACGAAAGAAUCACGUCAAUAUCUCCAAUGUCAAGGUCGCCACGACUAAAAAUAGAUUAAAAAAAAAAAAAAACUUACAAAGGGGGUUAAUUUUUUUUGGUCAUUUCAAAAGUUCAGUUUGAGUUUU
Molecule: long non-coding RNA, 2518 nt
Organism: Dreissena polymorpha
Lineage: Eukaryota; Metazoa; Mollusca; Bivalvia; Myida; Dreissenidae
Exons: 2
Source: RefSeq, a predicted model, not a curated record